This 212-nucleotide long non-coding RNA is filed under the name Solanum pimpinellifolium. RNAcentral describes it as "long non-coding RNA (SPIM_LNC000218)". The record is from RNAcentral. Lineage: Eukaryota; Viridiplantae; Streptophyta; Magnoliopsida; Solanales; Solanaceae.
CGUAAAUAGACGACCAUGGGUAGUUCAGGUGCGCUUAAAGUCAACUACAACUAGAAGGCAUGCCAAUCUUGCCACCAAUAAACCUUUGANGGGUGCGGGUCAAAUCCGCAUCUUUGCGCCCUUUACUUACUUCAAGGGAUGGUGCGUCCGAUACAUGAUUGGUUAAUGACGAUUCUCAACAGCAUCUGUAAGAUCUCGAGGCUUACUAGACG